RNAcentral lists this ribosomal RNA (743 nucleotides) under bacterium 119_xplvp419. RNAcentral describes it as "bacterial SSU rRNA". It matches the Rfam family "Bacterial small subunit ribosomal RNA", at positions 51 to 777 of the family's 1533-position model. The record is from RNAcentral. RNAcentral also lists the same sequence under 1 other name.
AUACAUGCAAGUCGAGCGAAUGGAUGGGAGCUUGCUCCCUGAAGUUAGCGGCGGACGGGUGAGUAACACGUGGGCAACCUGCCUGUAAGACUGGGAUAACUUCGGGAAACCGGAGCUAAUACCGGAUACGUUCUUUCCUCGCAUGAGGAAAGAUGGAAAGACGGUUUCGGCUGUCACUUACAGAUGGGCCCGCGGCGCAUUAGCUAGUUGGUGAGGUAAUGGCUCACCAAGGCCACGAUGCGUAGCCGACCUGAGAGGGUGAUCGGCCACACUGGGACUGAGACACGGCCCAGACUCCUACGGGAGGCAGCAGUAGGGAAUCUUCCGCAAUGGACGAAAGUCUGACGGAGCAACGCCGCGUGAGCGAAGAAGGCCUUCGGGUCGUAAAGCUCUGUUGUUAGGGAAGAACAAGUGCCAGAGUAACUGCUGGCACCUUGACGGUACCUAACCAGAAAGCCACGGCUAACUACGUGCCAGCAGCCGCGGUAAUACGUAGGUGGCAAGCGUUGUCCGGAAUUAUUGGGCGUAAAGCGCGCGCAGGUGGUUCCUUAAGUCUGAUGUGAAAGCCCACGGCUCAACCGUGGAGGGUCAUUGGAAACUGGGGGACUUGAGUGCAGAAGAGGAAAGUGGAAUUCCAAGUGUAGCGGUGAAAUGCGUAGAGAUUUGGAGGAACACCAGUGGCGAAGGCGACUUUCUGGUCUGUAACUGACACUGAGGCGCGAAAGCGUGGGGAGCAAACAGGA